This 262-nucleotide unclassified non-coding RNA is filed under the name Hevea brasiliensis (rubber tree). The record is from RNAcentral. Lineage: Eukaryota; Viridiplantae; Streptophyta; Magnoliopsida; Malpighiales; Euphorbiaceae.
CCAGUGGGAGAUAUCUAUCCCAACUCCCCUCAAACUCAAUGACACAACUCUUUAGCAUAUCCUCCAGGAUUUAUCACAUAAUUCACAGUGUUACUAUCAUUUCAAUUUAUUACUUGCAAAAAUUCAAUUAGUUCUUAGGUUUACCUGGAUUACUCGUUCUGACUGUCUAUCCGUUUGGGGAUGAAAAGCAGUGCUAAAACGGAGUUGUGUGCCCAAGGCUUCUUGCAACUUUUUCCAGAAUCUCAAUGUAAACCUUGGGUCU